CACAACCUGGUUGAUCCUGCCAGUAGUCAUAUGCUUGUCUCAAAGAUUAAGCCGUGCAUGUCUCAGUAUAAGCUUCUACAUGGCGACACUGCGAAUGGCUCAUUAAAACAGUUAUCGUUUAUUUGGUGGUCAUUCAUUACAUGGAUAACCAUGGUAAUUCUAGAGUUAAUACAUGCAUCCAAACCCAACUUCUCG
This 195-nucleotide ribosomal RNA is filed under the name uncultured eukaryote. RNAcentral's name for it is "partial 18S ribosomal RNA". It matches the Rfam family "Eukaryotic small subunit ribosomal RNA", at positions 1 to 193 of the family's 1831-position model. The record is from RNAcentral.